RNAcentral lists this ribosomal RNA (608 nucleotides) under Cicindela hybrida. RNAcentral describes it as "partial 16S ribosomal RNA". It matches the Rfam family "Bacterial large subunit ribosomal RNA", at positions 1850 to 2733 of the family's 2925-position model. Lineage: Eukaryota; Metazoa; Arthropoda; Insecta; Coleoptera; Carabidae. The record is from RNAcentral.
AGGUCUAACCUGNCCAAUGANGAAUUAAAUGGCCGCAGUAUUUUGACUGUGCAAAGGUAGCAUAAUUAUUAGUUUUUUAAUUGAAAGCUUGUAUGAAGGGUUGGACGAGAUAAAAUCUGUCUUUAUUUAAAUUACAAUAGAAUUUAACUUUUAAGUCAAAAGGCUUAAAUGUAUAUAAAAGACGAGAAGACCCUAUAGAUCUUUAUUUAAUUAAUAUUUUGAUAAUUUAAGAUUAUUUUAGUUUAAAGUUUUAAUUAAAUUUUAUUGGGGUAAUAUAGAGAUUAAAUAAAUUCUUUUUAUUUAUUACAUUGAUUUAUGAAUAUAUGAUCCAAUAUUAUUGAUUAUAAGAUUAAGUUACCUUAGGGAUAACAGCGUAAUUUUUUUGGAGAGCUCAUAUCGAUAAAAAAGUUUGCGACCUCGAUGUUGGAUUAAAAAUUAGCUUGGGUGCAGAAGCUCAAGAUUUUGGUCUGUUCGACCAUUAAAUUUUUACAUGAUCUGAGUUCAGACCGGCGUAAGCCAGGUCGGUUUCUAUCUUUAUUUAUCUAAAAUAUUUUAGUACGAAAGGACCAAAUAUUUAAUAUAAUUAUAUUUCUUUUUUGAAUAAUAUU